RNAcentral lists this small nuclear RNA (21 nucleotides) under Arabidopsis thaliana (thale cress). RNAcentral describes it as "snRNA_18454". Lineage: Eukaryota; Viridiplantae; Streptophyta; Magnoliopsida; Brassicales; Brassicaceae. The record is from RNAcentral.
GACUCUCUUAAGGUAGCCAAA